GCUCUUCUUAAAAUUGAAGGUGUUUAUGCUCGAGAUGAAACUGAGUUCUAUCUAGGCAAGAGAUGUGCUUAUGUGUACAAGGCAAAGAACAACACAGUGACUCCUGGUGGCAAACCGAA
Hipposideros armiger (great roundleaf bat) is the source of this 119-nucleotide long non-coding RNA. RefSeq lists it as uncharacterized. NCBI's taxonomy places the organism in Eukaryota, Metazoa, Chordata, Mammalia, Chiroptera, Hipposideridae. The transcript is spliced from 2 exons. The record is from RefSeq and is a predicted model, not a curated record.